UACGUAGGGGGCGAGCGUUGUCCGGAUUCAUUGGGCGUAAAGAGCGCGUAGGCGGCUGAGCAAGUCGGAUGUGAAAGCUCCAGGCUCAACCUGGAGAGGCCACUCGAUACUGCUCUAGCUAGAGUCCGGUAGGGGAAGGUGGAAUAUCUGGUGUAGCGGUGAAAUGCGCAGAUAUCAGGUGGAACACCGGUGGCGAAGGCGGCCUUCUGGGCCGGUACUGACGCUGAGGCGCGAAAGCGUGGGGAGCGAACAGG
Molecule: ribosomal RNA, 254 nt
Filed under: uncultured bacterium
Lineage: Bacteria
Description: partial 16S ribosomal RNA
Rfam family: Bacterial small subunit ribosomal RNA
Source: RNAcentral